RNAcentral lists this long non-coding RNA (389 nucleotides) under Phoenix dactylifera (date palm). Its description in RNAcentral is "long non-coding RNA (PDAC_LNC013858)". The record is from RNAcentral. Lineage: Eukaryota; Viridiplantae; Streptophyta; Magnoliopsida; Arecales; Arecaceae.
UGAGCAGCCACUAUCCAAGUACCAACAGUUUUUGUCGACUUUGGCUGCAAGACACUCCUACAAAAGAAAAUCAUAUAAUUUUAGGUACCCAAGUUUUCUUGGGUCCUUCAAGAUUAGUAAAGUUGGUUCCUUUUGGAACCCAAACCUUUUUAUUUUUUCUUUUAGCUCCUACCUUCCUAUGGUCACACACAUUAGCUUUAUGUCCUACCUUUCCACAGCAAAAACAGGUUAUAUUCUUAAUUUUACUUUCCCCUGCUUUCACAAAAAAUUACUAAGGAGCUUUUGCUUAUUCUUAGGUUUGUAUCCUAAACCAGUUCUAUUAAACACAGCUCGUUGAUUGUUAAGUAUCAUUUCCAAUUUUUCAGAACUAUAUGUAAACUUUUCAACAA